UUUUUUGCUGCUGCAGCAUUAUCAAGAUUCAUAUGCAAAUAUAGUACGGCAGCCGUGGUCCCGGUACCGCGAUUGUUUUUUUUCAGAUGCCAUAGCUUUUAUUUGAGCAUGAGAAUCUUGAUGAUGCUGCAUCGGCCAUAAA
This 142-nucleotide microRNA precursor is filed under the name Theobroma cacao (cacao). RNAcentral's name for it is "mir-172 microRNA precursor family". It matches the Rfam family "mir-172 microRNA precursor family". From Rfam's summary of the family: mir-172 has been experimentally verified in Arabidopsis thaliana. The record is from Rfam by way of RNAcentral. Lineage: Eukaryota; Viridiplantae; Streptophyta; Magnoliopsida; Malvales; Malvaceae.